Molecule: ribosomal RNA, 460 nt
Filed under: uncultured bacterium
Lineage: Bacteria
Description: partial 16S ribosomal RNA
Rfam family: Bacterial small subunit ribosomal RNA
Source: RNAcentral
CCUACGGGAGGCAGCAGUGAGGAAUAUUGGUCAAUGGACGAGAGUCUGAACCAGCCAAGUAGCGUGAAGGAUGACUGCCCUAUGGGUUGUAAACUUCUUUUAUAUGGGAAUAAAACGUUCCACGUGUGGGAUUUUGUAUGUACCAUAUGAAUAAGGAUCGGCUAACUCCGUGCCAGCAGCCGCGGUAAUACGGAGGAUCCGAGCGUUAUCCGGAUUUAUUGGGUUUAAAGGGCGCGUAGGUGGAUUGUUAAGUCAGUUGUGAAAGUUUGCGGCUCAACCGUAAAAUUGCAGUUGAAACUGGCAGUCUUGAGUACAGUAGAGGUGGGCGGAAUUCGUGGUGUAGCGGUGAAAUGCUUAGAUAUCACGAAGAACUCCGAUUGCGAAGGCAGUUCACUGGACUGCAACUGACACUGAGGCUCGAAAGUGUGGGUAUCAAACAGGAUUAGAUACCCUAGUAGUC